UGCCACACCACCCUGAACACGCCCGAUCUCGUCUGAUCUCGAAAGCUAAGCAGGGUCGGGCCUGGUUAGUACUUGGAUGGGAGACCUCCUGGGAAUACCAGGUGUCGUAGGCA
RNAcentral lists this ribosomal RNA (113 nucleotides) under Chelonia mydas (Green sea turtle). Lineage: Eukaryota; Metazoa; Chordata; Testudines; Cheloniidae. The record is from RNAcentral.